Molecule: transfer RNA, 92 nt
Filed under: Thalassovita mediterranea
Lineage: Bacteria; Pseudomonadati; Pseudomonadota; Alphaproteobacteria; Rhodobacterales; Roseobacteraceae
Description: Thalassobius mediterraneus tRNA-His
Source: RNAcentral
GGUGUCGUUAGAUCGCAUGGAAAUGGGGCCUGUGUGAGAGGUCAGAGAGGAUCAGACGGGUUUCAGACUGGUUUCAGGCCAGCGCGGAACCG